Molecule: ribosomal RNA, 211 nt
Filed under: uncultured bacterium
Lineage: Bacteria
Description: partial 16S ribosomal RNA
Rfam family: Bacterial small subunit ribosomal RNA
Source: RNAcentral
CAGUUCGGAUGCAGGCUGCAACCCGCCUGCGUGAAGUUGGAAUUGCUAGUAAUCGCGGAUCAGCAUGCCGCGGUGAAUACGUUCUCGGGCCUUGUACACACCGCCCGUCACACCAUGGGAGCCGGUAAUACCCGAAGUCAGUAGCCUAACCGCAAGGGGGGCGCUGCCGAAGGUAGGAUUGGCGACUGGGGUGAAGUCGUAACAAGGUAUC